This 497-nucleotide ribosomal RNA is filed under the name uncultured bacterium. RNAcentral describes it as "partial 16S ribosomal RNA". It matches the Rfam family "Bacterial small subunit ribosomal RNA", at positions 28 to 507 of the family's 1533-position model. The record is from RNAcentral.
GACGAACGCUGGCGGCGUGCCUAAUACAUGCCAGUAGAACGCUGAAGAGAGGAGCUUGCUCUUCUUGGAUGAGUUGCGAACGGGUGAGUAACGCGUAGGUAACCUGCCUUGUAGCGGGGGAUAACUAUUGGAAACGAUAGCUAAUACCGCAUAACAAUGGAUGACACAUGUCAUUUAUUUGAAAGGGGCAAUUGCUCCACUACAAGAUGGACCUGCGUUGUAUUAGCUAUUAGGUGAGGGAAUGGCUCACCUAGGCGACGAUACAUAGCCGACCUGGGAGGGUGAUCGGCCACACUGGGACUGGGACACGGCCCAGACUCCUACGGGAGGCAGCAGUAGGGAAUCUUCGGCAAUGGGGGCAACCCUGACCGAGCAACGCCGCGUGAGUGAAGAAGGUUUUCGGAUCGUAAAGCUCUGUUGUAAGUCAAGAACGGGUGUGAGAGUGGAAAGUUCACACUGUGACGGUAGCUUACCAGAAAGGGACGGCUAACUACGUG